UACGUAGGGUGCAAGCGUUGUCCGGAAUUAUUGGGCGUAAAGAGCUCGUAGGCGGUUUGUCGCGUCUGCUGUGAAAUCCCGAGGCUCAACCUCGGGUCUGCAGUGGGUACGGGCAGGCUUGAGUUCGGUAGGGGAGACUGGAAUUCCUGGUGUAGCGGUGAAAUGCGCAGAUAUCAGGAGGAACACCAAUAGCGAAGGCAGCUCGCUGGGACGUUACUGACACUAAGGCGCGAAAGCGUGGGGAGCGAACAGG
RNAcentral lists this ribosomal RNA (253 nucleotides) under uncultured bacterium. RNAcentral's name for it is "partial 16S ribosomal RNA". It matches the Rfam family "Bacterial small subunit ribosomal RNA", at positions 524 to 776 of the family's 1533-position model. The record is from RNAcentral.